CCUACGGGUGGCAGCAGUGAGGAAUAUUGGUCAAUGGACGAGAGUCUGAACCAGCCAAGUAGCGUGAAGGAUGACUGCCCUAUGGGUUGUAAACUUCUUUUAUAUGGGAAUAAAACGUUCCACGUGUGGGAUUUUGUAUGUACCAUAUGAAUACGGAUCGGCUAACUCCGUGCCAGCAGCCGCGGUAAUACGGAGGAUCCGAGCGUUAUCCGGAUUUAUUGGGUUUAAAGGGUGCGUAGGUGGAUUGUUAAGUCAGUUGUGAAAGUUUGCGGCUCAACCGUAAAAUUGCAGUUGAAACUGGCAGUCUUGAGUACAGUAGAGGUGGGCGGAAUUCGUGGUGUAGCGGUGAAAUGCUUAGAUAUCACGAAGAACUCCGAUUGCGAAGGCAGUUCACUGGACUGCAACUGACACUGAGGCUCGAAAGUGUGGGUAUCAAACAGGAUUAGAUACCCCUGUAGUC
This 460-nucleotide ribosomal RNA is filed under the name uncultured bacterium. RNAcentral describes it as "partial 16S ribosomal RNA". It matches the Rfam family "Bacterial small subunit ribosomal RNA", at positions 338 to 795 of the family's 1533-position model. The record is from RNAcentral.